UGAAUGUAAUCGAUGUAACGCAUCUAAUACAAAGUUUCAACAACGGAUCUCUUGGCUCUCGCAUCGAUGAAGAACGCAGCGAAAUGCGAUAAGUAAUGUGAAUUGCAGAAUUCAGUGAAUCAUCGAAUCUUUGAACGCACCUUGCGCUCC
This 150-nucleotide ribosomal RNA is filed under the name Ceratobasidium sp. M-13. Its description in RNAcentral is "5.8S ribosomal RNA". The stretch from base 32 to 150 matches the Rfam family "5.8S ribosomal RNA", at positions 1 to 119 of the family's 154-position model. Rfam says of the family: 5.8S ribosomal RNA (5.8S rRNA) is a component of the large subunit of the eukaryotic ribosome. It is transcribed by RNA polymerase I as part of the 45S precursor that also contains 18S and 28S rRNA. Functionally, it is thought that 5.8S rRNA may be involved in ribosome translocation. Lineage: Eukaryota; Fungi; Basidiomycota; Agaricomycetes; Cantharellales; Ceratobasidiaceae. The record is from RNAcentral.